This 294-nucleotide ribosomal RNA is filed under the name uncultured bacterium. RNAcentral describes it as "partial 16S ribosomal RNA". It matches the Rfam family "Bacterial small subunit ribosomal RNA", at positions 336 to 643 of the family's 1533-position model. The record is from RNAcentral.
UUCCUACGGGAGGCAGCAGUGGGGGAUAUUGCACAAUGGGGGAAACCCUGAUGCAGCGACGCCGCGUGAGUGAAGAAGUAUUUCGGUAUGUAAAGCUCUAUCGGCAGGGAAGAAAAAAAUGACAGUACCUGACUAAGAAGCCCCGGCUAACUACGUGCCAGCAGCCGCGGUAAUACGUAGGGGGCAAGCGUUAUCCGGAUUUACUGGGUGUAAAGGGAGCGUAGGGGGCAUGGUAAGCCAGAAGUGAAAACCCAGGGCUCAACUCUGUGGAUUGCUUUUGGGACUAUCAAGCUA